This 8110-nucleotide long non-coding RNA is filed under the name Mus musculus (house mouse). RNAcentral's name for it is "predicted gene, 57733 (Gm57733)". The record is from RNAcentral. Lineage: Eukaryota; Metazoa; Chordata; Mammalia; Rodentia; Muridae.
GUGGUCACGCUUCCCUUAAGCCCACAGAUGGGCCAGGAGUAAGAACCUGAGAGCCAGGCUUGCAGGAAAGACCUCAGGAUGCAAGGCUGACUGCCACCAAUGAGAAUGAUGGUCUUGGGAGUCCCUGGCCUCAUUCAGCAGUUGUCAGCACCAGGGCCUCAUGAAGUCUGUGUGAACCACAGGCUCCCCUGCUUCCCGCCAUCCCUUCCCUGAAUCCCGGCGCUCCUGUCAAAUUAAAGAAGAAAGAAGCACUCACCGCCUGAAAGCCAGCCAAUAUGGUGAUUAUUCCACUUUUCCUGGAAUGAGCCUUCUACACUUUCACUGGCUGAAGCCAUCGGCAGCCAGGGUUCCCACCUCUCCAAGCUGCUCUCACACCCUCUGCAGCUCCCCAAGAUGCUUUCAAGCAAACAAAACAAAACCGGCACACUGCCUCUCCGGCAUCAUCAGAAUUCACAGCCAGCCAACAAACCCAGACGUGGGUAAUGAAUGCCACUGAGAAGCCUGCACAGCGCCAGAUGCCGGGAGGGUCUUAGCAAGUGCAGAGCCUGGAAGCUCUGCUGCUGGGGACACAGCCUCCUUGCCCUGCUCACUGGGGCUCAGUGCCGAUCAGGAGGGAAGCACUAGAAACACAGAGUCUGUCGUAGCUCUCACACAGUUUCAAAGAAAGGAGUCACGAAGGAGAUACAGGCAAGCACAGAGCUACACAGGCCUUGAGCUGCUGUCGAGGUUCUGAUGCCAUUAUUAGAGCAAUCUGUCAAGGAGAAUGCAGACACAAAAAUAGAGCACAAUCAGGUGGCCAUGACCUGACGCGGCGACGAGACCCUGAGUUCUACUAUAUUCUAGGUUAGGUACUUGGGAGAGUUACUCAGCCUCUGCACUGACAGCUCAGGACCACACCGCUGCAGUCAGCCCCCUGAGCUGUGCACCUCUUUCAGAGUUGGAUAUGGAUUCCCUACGACCACACCAAACUUUGAUGCUCCCGUGAGUCAGACAGGGCUACUUGGUGUGCGUUUUUCUAUUUAAAGAUCAGACAGGGCUUACACACAGACACCAUUCAAGCCUGUAUCUUCUAAGAAAUGGGUGCUAAAUACGGCAUCUUCGGCCCUCACUUUCCAUCAACACAGGAGAUGUUCUUGUUGACAACGGAGGAUUCUUUUUUUCCACUGCCAGCUGCACAGGAAGGAGGGGCGAUGGGGAGGGGUGUGCUGCCUGCCUCCUGGGCUGGGAUGUGGAGGGGUCAACAUCACCAACUCCCCCUCCAAAUGCCAUUGCCAGGGUGGAGAGAGAUGGAGAGUGCUCACCCACCAGACAGUAGUCUUAGGAUCCAAUGCCAAUAUGGGGUGUCUGAAGAUGGGCACAGGACAUGCCAGCAGGGCCAUCCACCUGAAAUAAGCUGGGGGACGAGGACGGGUCUCCUGAUAGCACCCUCUUGAAAUCUUGGUGGAGGGACGAAACAUUCCCACACGGAGUGCCCAUUUCCAGAGGAUCAAAGAUUAGUCAGCCAGCAAGCCAGGCAGCCUGUAGCCAGAGCUCUGCCCGCUGGGGGGCACGUGAGCGUCUCUAAAUUGCCUUCUUUCCUUGGGGCCACCACACUCUAGGAAAGCAGACUGUGUGUGCUCUAGCAAUCACAGGCAAAAUUGGAAGUACGGCGGCGCAAUGUCCUCCACCCUGGGAGCUACUCAGGAGAGAAGCUGUGCACUCCAAUUCUGCCCAGACAGGCAGUGCCUGAGCAGGCCAGUCCAGGCCUCUCCUUCCAGCUCUCCCUCCAUCCCAGCUUUUUGGAGAGAAAGCAAACAGACCCUUGACCAGAUGGAGCCUUCCUCGCUAAUAAACCUAGCCUAAGACGUGUUCAAGAAGAAGUAGAAAAUUACCUUUCAGGAAGCCAACAUGAGGUCUCAGAGAGCCGCCCCCAGCCCGCAGCAGCGCUAUAGGCGGCUCAUGCCUGGAAGUGCCAGCACACGGUCCCCUGGCUGUGUGAGGAGCCACCACGCAGGGACAACAGAGGCAAGGAAGAAGGCAAGCGGGAGAGGAAGGGGUGGGGAGAGGCGCGGGAGGGCGGGAAGGAGGGAGAAUUGAUUCUCUCUCCUCCACUGGGACCACUGAGCUAAGUUGCCAUGGAGAAAGGGGAGCCGCUGGCAGAGCUUGAGGCGGGCGGAGGAGCCAUAUGCCAGGGGAAGGCGUCAGCAGAGCCAAUCCCACAGUUCUGCUGUGGCAACCUCCCCAAACAGGCCUCGGCCUGCGCACCGAGGCAGGGUGGGGCAUGGCUGGACGGUGGGUGGGCGAAAACAGCCCUCCACUACAGCCACCCCGAGAAAAAGCAAAACCCAGGAAGCUUCCCUGCAUCAGGCUGCUCAUCCGCCCUACAGCUGGGACCCUGGACCUGCCUCCUCACGCUGCCUCUAACCUCAUGCAACCCAAGGUCAAAGUCCCAGGAACAGGCAGGCGGUCCCCUCCCUAGGCGUUUUAGAAGCAUCGCCUUUCGGUCCUUGCCUCCUGUUUCUAAAACUCAGCCACCAAACCCUGAGUCAUACUUUCCCACCCUCAGGAAGGAGGGGAUGCCCACCCACAGGAAGGCUUCUGUAGCCCAGAGCCACCAAGGCAGGAAGCCAAGGUGGGAGGCUGCUGGGCACCUGCUGGUUAAAGAUGAGACCGGAUCAUGGGCACCCUGGACCAGACCCACAUUGAGCUGUAUCUCCCACCUGCACACUACCAACCUCGCUGUGGCUGCUGUGCAAACCUUGCUACAGGGCUGGCUCUGCUCUGCCCCCAGCCUCACAUCACAGCCUCUGGCUGCAGAGGCUAGGGGAGGACAGGAGCCUGGCUGGAGUCUCUUUUCUCUCUCCGGAGAUCACAGGGCCAUUGCCAGUCUGGUCACAUCUCUGUGCUUUCAUUUCCUUGGUACAAACUGAGACAGGACCAUUUUCUCUACCGAGCUGCGCUCUGGGGCAUCAUGAUGCUGGCAGAUGUAGGGAAGGCUGAGCUGUGGACGUUGUGUCCUUCCAGAUCCAGUUGGAAGCACUGGGGCAGCAUCCAAUGCCCUGCCUCCCCUUGUGCACUUGGCUGGCAAAGCUGGAGCCCACAGCAGUGCCCCCAGGCCUGUUGCUCUUGAGGGAACAUCUGAGUGUACCAUGCCCCACCUUGCCUCUGAAGCCUGCAGUCAAGAAAACAUUUCCUCUUCCUGCCCCAUUCCAACAAUGUUAUGAAAAUAUCCCAGUAUAUGAAUAAAUCAGAAAAAUGUUAUAAGGAACGUAUAGAUUUACUAACCAGAUUUCUGUUUCCUCUCACUUUUCUAUUGUUAAAAAAAAAAUAGAACAAAGAAUAUACUGUUUUUAUCAACUGAGAGCAUACAGUUUGGUAACAUGAAGUCUAUCCACAGUGUGGUACAACUGCCACCUGCAUCCAGUAGCAAACAUCUGCAUUACCCUGAAAGGAGACACAUGGGAGAGCCGUUUUGUUACGCUUCGCUCUAGCCCCUGAUCACCACUAGUCUACUGCCCACAGACACGCUUGCUUUGAGGGUUUCAUAUGAAUGGGAUUUCGGAGUGCAUGCAACCUUUUGGAACUGGCUUCUUUCAUUUAUCAUCAUGUUCUUUCUCAAAGUUCAUACAAGGUUGUACCCUAUGUAGGUUGCUUCCUUCCUUCAUGGCAGAAUAAUAUCCUAUUGAUUAGAUAGACUCACUACACAUAUCUACUCACCACAGGAUGGACACAUGAGGUAUUUCUACAUUUGGGUUCCCCCCUCAUUCCUCUCCCCAAGACCUAAGGAAGUGUCCGGGGCAUUCAGUCACCAAGCUGCAAGUUACCCCAAAUUAAAUAUUUAUCCACUCAUCUUUCCAAUCAGCAAGGCUCACCUAUGUCUGGCCUGGGGACAAAGGCAAAAGGCUCCAAGUGGCCUCAGUCUCUUCUGUCCUGGGGAAGCUGCCAGCUGGGCAGGAGGAUUUACAGGCACCCUCCUCCAUACCUUCGUUGACAGAUAAAGCUGAGUUCUAGGGCCACUGGCAUUGCUGGCUGUACGAAUGGUGAGUAUUCCCCUUUAGCCACAAGCUGUCAGGUCCCUGUCUCAUGGGGUUGCUUCAGAGGCAAGGCCAAUGCUGCCCAAGUGAACGAUCCAUGAGGAUACCCACCCUGUAUGUUCUGCCAGCCAGGCGCGGCUGUUGUCACCCCAUGGGCCUAGGUGGCCACUGACAUUCAAACUGUGGCUAGUGCUGAUAGAAAAUGUUGCUUUGCUUUUUGUUGACAACUGAAAUGAAAGGCUUACACGGAGCUGUGGGGAUCACCAGGGACAGAACGGCUCUGAAGGUAGAGAAAACGAACAGUUUAGCUCCCCAACCUCUGCUUCUCCCUUUCCUCUCUCCACUUACCUGAGCUGUCUCGGGUGUGGGGAGGCUUCUGGCUGCAGCCUGAGCCAAGGCCUAUCUAGAAGGACAGAGGGUAUGUGGUGGGGCUCUCAGGGAACCAAACAGAUAGCAGCGGGGGAGUCGGCUCCUUAGACUCCAUAAUGACAAGAGUCUCUGAACCUCAGGCCUGGAGCCUCCUCUCUGCCCUGUUCUAGAACCACUCCCUUCCCCUGUCUCCCCCAGCAACUCCUGAUGUCAUCCCAGAAUGCCUGGACAGGGGCUGUGGGAUUGGAACUUUCCUACCAUCUCCAUGAGUCAGCAGAACCCUGUGUGGUUACACAACCUUGGUCCCAGGCUAGGCUGAGCGUCAGGUGCUCGGGGAGACUACCCCCUGCACCCCCAGCUGCCCUCCAGACUCCCAAUGCAUGGGUGGCUUCACAGUGACCCAGACCACACUCUGAAACCACCCUCUCCCUCAGGAGGUGUAUAAGGACUCACUCAGAGGGUGCAGUGCUUUUCCCGGGCUCAUCCAGCAAGGCUGGUCCCAGGCCCAUGGCCAUCCUGGGGUGGGGGCGGGGGUUGGUGGUACAAGCUCAUUCUCCUGGGACCUCCAGUGCUGGCUAGGCAAAGAGCUAUUUGUCUCAAAGUUACAACAGCAGAGAUGAGAGACAGAGUACACCAUUGCUCUCCUGUCCCCGGUCACAUGAACCUGCCUAGCAUGUGUGGGAUAACAGUAAGGUGGCCAUGAAGACUCCCACAAGUAGGGCAAAUUUAAACACAGCCACAAGGCACAGUUGGCCUCAAUCUCUGUGGUUUCCACAUCCAGAGAGUAAACUAACCACAGACUGAAAUGGAAAAUAUUGAGGGAAAAAGGAUCGCAUCUGUACUGAGCAAGUGCAGAACUUUUUUCUUGCUGUUAAUUCCCUGAGUGGUACUGUGGGACAGUUCUUUGUGGGAAUGGCGCAGUGUGAAUGAUCCUCACACGACUAGAGUGUUCAGCGCCACAAAUAGUCUAGAGAGCUGAGGUGUCCAGAAGGACAUUCGCUGGGCAUAUGCAGCACUCUGCCUUCCACAGAAGGGGAUGGAACACUCUGGUAGAAACGAUGCCUCAGACCCAAGGGGCGACUGUAAACAUGGUCCCCGUUGCUCUGUCCUGAGCUGGCAGGUGCUGCUGGGGACAGGUCUGUUCUUUUCCUGCAAAACCCUUCCUUGCCUCCCAGCUUCCCAUGCUCCUGCAGCAGAAGGCCCAGGGGACCCACCACAAACCUGAAGGGACAUCUUGCCUCCCACAGCUCGAAUCUCCAGUGGCCUCCCUGCCUCUUACUCACACUGUCCAGACUGGGGCCCAACUCUUCCCGCAGGCGUUUGCGCCUGCACAACCUGCUCCUGCUAGCCUCUGCCUGAGCACAUAUUACUCAGGCCUUCUCAGCCACUUAGUUAACUCUGAGUCCUGCCUGGGCUUUCCCUUGACCCCCUCAUUGUUUCCAUGGCGUCAACCUUACCUAAUAUACGGUCUACUGUCCUUUGAUGCUUUUGCUUUCCAAAUGGUGGUAAAUGUUAAUUUGCUACCCUGAUAGCUUGUUAAGUGCUUGGUUCAGUAGCCUUAAGGAUAUUAACGUGGCUAUACAGUCCUCCCCACUAUCUCUACAACCUUUUCACUUCCCAAACCAGAACUGCACUCAUUAAACACCAACUCCCCAACCCAACCCACCCCUGUUGCCCUCCAUUUUACUUCUGUCUCUAUGGAUCUGACUCCAGUGACCACUUUAUGGUGUCAUUACAGCGCAUGGAAUUAUACCAUGGUCCCGCUAUGCUUGGCUUCUUUCACUUAGCAGUUCAUCUGCGCCAUACGUAGCAUGUUCCUCUGUAAAACUGUCUGUCAUGCUGGGCAGGGUAGCACAUGCCUUUGUUUUCAGUACUUGGGAUUUAAUCUAGUAGGUGUAUCUCUAUGAGUUGGAGGCCAGCCUGGUCUACAGAGGAAGUUCCAGGACAGCCAGGCCCACACAGAGAAACCCUGUCUCGAAAACCAAAGCCACCAAAUAAAAUUAAAAAAACAACAACUGUCUAUCUCACGUACUAGAUGGAGACUUCUAGGGUGGUUGUAUUCACUGCUGUGUCCCAGGGUACGCCUGGGAGAAUACUGGGCAUACAACAGGCACUGAACAAAUGCUUUAAAUGGAUGAAUAAUGAGUGAGUACGCAGACAGAUGGGUGAAUGAAUGGACAGAUAGGUGAAUGGGGAAAGAUGGAUGACUGGAUGGCUGAAUGAAUGACAGGUAGAUAGAUGGAGAAGCUGCAGAGCAAGUACCUCAAUUCACAUGUCUGUGUCAGGCCCUGAUUUAUAGGCAGACCUCAGCUCCUGGUCCUCCCAAUGACAAAGCUUCUUGCCCUGGAGCCCAAGGCCUCCACCCGAAGAUGUGGCCAUAUUCAGUGUGGCAGGACUCUCCCCUAAACUUCACAAUGGCUUCUCCUAUAGGGUUAGCCCCUUCAGGAUGCCCCCUCAGAUGAGGCACAUCAGGGAGAAUUGACUAGAGAACCAAAAGUUCUUAAUCAUAGUUUAUUAGUUUGUUUCUUCAACAGAGUCUCACUCUAUAGCCCUGGCUGGCCUAGAACUCCUGUCUCUGCCUCCUGAGUGUUGGGAUUAAAGUCUUGUACCACCAUGCAAGGGUCCCAGUUGUAAUAUAAAGGGGCCUAGGAGCCUCAGGCAGCCUCAGGGUGUGGCAGAGAAGAGAGUGGGAUGCCAGGAAGUGCCUGGAACACACAUUUCAUCUAAGGAGCAGAGCCUUCGAAAGCCAGGACAACAGCCUGGGUAGGCUGAGGGCUAGACCUUCAGCCCUGCUCUGCAUCUGGGCCUACAACCUUGGCAGCAAUUCGCCUCUCACCUUUUCCACAUCCUGCCUAGCUAUUUAUAGCCAUCCUCUCUCUGAGAACUACUUUACCCAUUUUUUUUUUCCCUAGCUGGACGGACUUGGUAAAUCGAAGUCAGGAGAACCUCACCUUUGUAUCCAGGAGGUUUCAUGGUAUGGCUAUAGUUGGCUGGCUCUGCCUGCACCCCGUCUUGUGAUGGGCCUCGGGGCCUGUGAUAUCCUCUGCCAGGUGUGUGGUGCCUCUAGAGAGAAGCAAUUAACACAGCAGCCCAGGCAGACCUCAACUUGUGGGGCUAGAAGAUGGGGAUCCUAUAAAGCCCGGGUUACCCCAAAGUUACUCUCUGCUCUAGGAAAGACAUAUUGUGGUGGUGGAAGGACAGCUGUACCUUUAAAUGCUUGGGCCCACAGAUACGAAAAACAUUUGCACUCUCUGGCUGUUUGCAUCUUUGGUUAUUUUUAGGGUGAACCCAGUUGCCUCCCCUUGGAACCGGAUGAAGCCCCAGAGAAGGCACGUAGUCCUUUUUCCCAGAUGGGGGGUCCUGCUCCUGUUUCCCUGGGAACGAAGUCUUAGACAUGGGCUAUCUAGGGAACUGCCCCCCCAUCCCCCAGCAUUACACACUGAACCCCUCUCAGGCUCACUUGAAGGACCUGUGCACAGAAGCAGCUUUGCUCCUAUUGUGAAGAUCUGCUGCUGACAUCAGGGCCACCCACCUGCACCCUGAGGGCCCCUUGACACCCCCGGGGGCUGAAGAAAAGAAAGCAUGAUGCAAUCCCCCCAAGAACCCGGCAGUCCCAGCCGAUGGGAAUGUCUGGCUGGCGUAUUUCUAGAACAGCGGCAAUUAAGAGGCGAUCUUCUCUCCUGCCCCCCUCCCCAAAACAGAAAUAAAUCAGUGCCUCCAUUCUCCCA